UAGGGAAUUUUGCGCAAUGGGCGAAAGCCUGACGCAGCAACGCCGCGUGUGUGAUGACGCCCUUCGGGGUGUAAAACACUGUCAGUAGGGACGAAUUUUGACGGUACCUACAGAGGAAGCACCGGCUAACUCCGUGCCAGCAGCCGCGGUAAUACGGAGGGUGCAAGCGUUGUCCGGAAUCAUUGGGCGUAAAGAGUUCGUAGGUGGUUUGUUAAGUCUGGUGUCAAAGCCCGAAGCUCAACUUCGGUUCGGCAUCGGAUACUGGCAGACUAGAAUGCGGUAGAGGUAAAGGGAAUUCCUGGUGUAGCGGUGAAAUGCGUAGAUAUCAGGAGGAACAUCGGUGGCGUAAGCGCUUUACUGGGCCGUAAUUGACACUGAGGAACGAAAGCCGGGGUAGCAAAUGGGAUUAGAUACCCUGGUAGU
RNAcentral lists this ribosomal RNA (423 nucleotides) under uncultured Vampirovibrio sp. Its description in RNAcentral is "bacterial SSU rRNA". It matches the Rfam family "Bacterial small subunit ribosomal RNA", at positions 355 to 794 of the family's 1533-position model. Lineage: Bacteria; Bacillati; Candidatus Melainabacteria; Vampirovibriophyceae; Vampirovibrionales; Vampirovibrionaceae. The record is from RNAcentral.